This 492-nucleotide ribosomal RNA is filed under the name uncultured bacterium. RNAcentral's name for it is "partial 16S ribosomal RNA". It matches the Rfam family "Bacterial small subunit ribosomal RNA", at positions 29 to 507 of the family's 1533-position model. The record is from RNAcentral.
AGUGAACGCUGGCGGUAGGCCUAACACAUGCAAGUCGAACGGCAGCACAGUAAGAGCUUGCUCUUACGGGUGGCGAGUGGCGGACGGGUGAGGAAUACAUCGGAAUCUACUUUUUCGUGGGGGAUAACGUAGGGAAACUUACGCUAAUACCGCAUACGACCUACGGGUGAAAGCAGGGGAUCUUCGGACCUUGCGCGAUUGAAUGAGCCGAUGUCGGAUUAGCUAGUUGGCGGGGUAAAGGCCCACCAAGGCGACGAUCCGUAGCUGGUCUGAGAGGAUGAUCAGCCUCACUGGAACUGAGGCACGGUCCAGACUCCUACGGGAGGCAGCAGUGGGGAAUAUUGGACAAUGGGCGCAAGCCUGAUCCAGCCAUACCGCGUGGGUGAAGAAGGCCUUCGGGUUGUAAAGCCCUUUUGUUGGGAAAGAAAAGCAGCAGGUUAAUACCCCGCUGUUCUGACGGUACCCAAAGAAUAAGCACCGGCUAACUUCGUG